This 1359-nucleotide long non-coding RNA is filed under the name Onthophagus taurus. RNAcentral describes it as "uncharacterized LOC111419806, transcript variant X2". Lineage: Eukaryota; Metazoa; Arthropoda; Insecta; Coleoptera; Scarabaeidae. The record is from RNAcentral.
UUCUCGGCGACUUUUUUCCGAUGUCUCAAGACGGUUUUAGUCAAAUUGAUUUAACUGCUCCGGGUUUCGUCAGCAACCAGGAGUCAUUCCUGUUAAACAGUUUUGACAUAAACCUGUUGAACAUAUCGACUGUUGAGAAGGCGCUGGAUCCAAACGUGCAGCUUAAUGAGCAGCCGAUGGAUCCAAACGUGGAAUCUAAUACGCAACAAGAUCCAUCGCUUCUGAACAUCGCAGGUUCCACGAAUGUUGACGAUAUGAAUGUAAAACGCCUUUUUCUUCGUCGGAAUUCUGGGAACCGUGAACAUUGGAAGGACACUGCAGGUUUGUGGUUACCGUCAGAAAAGUAUAGAGAGGAAAGACAAGAAAGAAGGGAGGCACGUGCUCGUUCGCGACGUAGCCAACGCAAGUAUGUGUCAGUUCAACCAGCGACCCCGUCGAAAGUUGAAAUGACACAGUCGAAAGUGGUUACCGAGAACGAGUCCGAUAAAUCCGACGACUCUCUUGCUUUAAAAGCGCUAUCACAACACUGUAGUACCUGUAAACCGGAAAUAUCUUAAAGCUACUAAGGCUUCUUCUUUUUCUUCUAAAGCUUCGUUGGCUCCUGUUCCCGUUACUAACUCAAAUAUCCCUAACACCGAAAUUCCUUCGUUAAGCCCGAAAGUACACAUCUUAAGGGUGGACAAUAUUCCUGCUACUUCAGAUAUUUCCGAUGUGUCUGCCAGCCUUUUUUCAAACGCAAUGUGUACAGCAGUCGAAACUACCAAAGGGGUGAUUUUAGCCGAAAUUAAUAGCUUAUAUCAAAAUUUUUAUAAAGACCUUCAUGAAAAGGUUCGUCAAUUGCAAACCUCUUUGAGAGAGCUUUCACAGUUUAGAGAAGGGCUGGCGUCGAGCUGUAACAAUUCUUUAACAAUACCGCUCGACAUCACCAACAUCAUUAACCUGUGAAAUUAAAAAGGCUGAAUCUAUUUUAUCUAGUUUCACUACUAAUAGCGUAAACUUCCCUUCCUAGCUUAAAGAUGGCUGCUAACAUAAGAGUUAAUCACAUGAUUAGAUUGUGCGAAUUGGAGCAGAAAGUUGCCGCGUUGGAGGUGAAAUUAGAGGCUCUAUUUAAGUUGCUGCAGAGCGUGUCAGAGUCGGCAGUGGUGAGGGGCGAAAUACAUGUUCAAAACAUGCACAAUAACCACUGCACCACAGCCGUUAGUUCACCGACUCCGGCAAGGACUCCGGCACCAGCAUUAUCAGCCUUAUGAAGAAACGAACCAAAUACUUCAAGAAAAAGAGGAGGAGUGGUAGCUACUCCUUCUCCUCUUUUUAUUAAGUUAAUUAUUAAGUUAAUUAUUAGGUUAAAUUGCUAUUAUU